Molecule: unclassified non-coding RNA, 345 nt
Filed under: soil metagenome
Description: partial contains 5.8S ribosomal RNA, internal transcribed spacer 2, and large subunit ribosomal RNA
Rfam family: 5.8S ribosomal RNA (bases 1-120)
Source: RNAcentral
GAUGAAGAACGCAGCGAAAUGCGAUACGUAAUGUGAAUUGCAGAAUUCAGUGAAUCAUCGAGUCUUUGAACGCACAUUGCGCCCCCUGGUAUUCCGGGGGGCAUGCCUGUCCGAGCGUCAUUGCUGCCCUCAAGCACGGCUUGUGUGUUGGGCCUCCGUCCUCCUCCCGGGGGACGGGCCCGAAAGGCAGCGGCGGCACCGCGUCCGGUCCUCGAGCGUAUGGGGCUUCGUCACCCGCUCUUGUAGGCCCGGCCGGCGCUUGCCGACACAUCAAUCUUUUUUCCAGGUUGACCUCGGAUCAGGUAGGGAUACCCGCUGAACUUAACCAUAUCAAUAAGCGGAGGA